ACGGGUGAGUAACACGUGGGUAACCUGCCCAUCAGAAGGGGAUAACACUUGGAAACAGGUGCUAAUACCGUAUAACACUAUUUUCCGCAUGGAAGAAAGUUGAAAGGCGCUUUUGCGUCACUGAUGGAUGGACCCGCGGUGCAUUAGCUAGUUGGUGAGGUAACGGCUCACCAAGGCCACGAUGCAUAGCCGACCUGAGAGGGUGAUCGGCCACACUGGGACUGAGACACGGCCCAGACUCCUACGGGAGGCAGCAGUAGGGAAUCUUCGGCAAUGGACGAAAGUCUGACCGAGCAACGCCGCGUGAGUGAAGAAGGUUUUCGGAUCGUAAAACUCUGUUGUUAGAGAAGAACAAGGAUGAGAGUAGAACGUUCAUCCCUUGACGGUAUCUAACCAGAAAGCCACGGCUAACUACGUGCCAGCAGCCGCGGUAAUACGUAGGUGGCAAGCGUUGUCCGGAUUUAUUGGGCGUAAAGCGAGCGCAGGCGGUUUCUUAAGUCUGAUGUGAAAGCCCCCGGCUCAACCGGGGAGGGUCAUUGGAAACUGGGAGACUUGAGUGCAGAAGAGGAGAGUGGAAUUCCAUGUGUAGCGGUGAAAUGCGUAGAUAUAUGGAGGAACACCAGUGGCGAAGGCGGCUCUCUGGUCUGUAACUGACGCUGAGGCUCGAAAGCGUGGGGAGCGAACAGGAUUAGAUACCCUGGUAGUCCACGCCGUAAA
This 717-nucleotide ribosomal RNA is filed under the name uncultured bacterium. RNAcentral describes it as "bacterial SSU rRNA". It matches the Rfam family "Bacterial small subunit ribosomal RNA", at positions 102 to 806 of the family's 1533-position model. The record is from RNAcentral.